RNAcentral lists this antisense RNA (75 nucleotides) under Streptomyces sp. 846.5. Its description in RNAcentral is "ASpks TB sRNA". It matches the Rfam family "ASpks TB sRNA". The record is from Rfam by way of RNAcentral. Lineage: Bacteria; Bacillati; Actinomycetota; Actinomycetes; Kitasatosporales; Streptomycetaceae.
CUUCACCGAGCCCAACCACACUGGCCGGUCCGCGGGCCGGUCCUGACCGUAGGUGGCCAGCAACGCCUGCGCCUC